Spinacia oleracea (spinach) is the source of this 521-nucleotide long non-coding RNA. RefSeq lists it as uncharacterized. The record is from RefSeq and is a predicted model, not a curated record. Lineage: Eukaryota; Viridiplantae; Streptophyta; Magnoliopsida; Caryophyllales; Amaranthaceae. The transcript is spliced from 2 exons.
UUGUCCGGAAACCCAGAUAGUUUUAAAAAACCCUUUUUUCACAUGGGUUAUACCAAAAGGUCCGAAAUUAGGGAAUUAGGGUUUGACUGUGUAAGCAAACAACCUCCCCCUCAUUCUCUCUCCCUCCUCCCUCCUCCUUCGUUAUCUCUCCUCAAUUUUGGAUCUCAACUCUACGACCAUUCGACCACCAGUCCACCACCACCUCCGAGUCUCCCAACACAUUUCCACCGAGCAUCUCCUACACACCACGACCAACAAAUCCUCUCUAAAAAUGACACCUUCUAGAUAAAGAGCUCUCAAUCCAAAAUGCCGUGUUUGCCGGGACCAUAAGGUCGUGUUUGUGGACUCAGUUGGUGUGAUUUAAUGGAAAGCAGAGGAAAAAAGAAUGUGUAUCAUUUGGACAAACUGUUCUUUUGUUUGGACAUGUCAAGUUCAUUUUUUGGGAUUUUAAGAUUGUAAUUGUUGUUUGUGGAACCAUUGUGUUCUUAAUUGAUGUAAUAGUAUAAUUAGUAUUUAUAAUA